This is a long non-coding RNA of Chroicocephalus ridibundus (black-headed gull), 760 nucleotides long. RefSeq lists it as uncharacterized. Lineage: Eukaryota; Metazoa; Chordata; Aves; Charadriiformes; Laridae. The record is from RefSeq and is a predicted model, not a curated record. The transcript is spliced from 3 exons.
GCGGGGCGGGUAGAAAAGGCCCGGCGGCGGCCAGGGCGCCUCAGAGCGGCGGCGGGGCCGGGGUUUGUGUGUGGCCGGGCCGGGGGCGGCGGCCGGGCGGGCUGUGUGAGGGGUCGCAGCGCCGCUGAGCUGCCACAACUUCCCCAUGCGUUUGGGACCCUGGUUGCAGCCUCUCCAGCUCCAUAGUCAUAGAAUCGGGUCAUAGCGAGGUUGGAAGCGUGUGCAGGGGAGCGAGGAGCUGUGAAUCCUGCGUUGUGGCUGCUGGAGCUGGAUGGCUUUCAUGGGCGAGUAUAGUGCUUGGGUCGCCAGAGCUGUCACUUCAACAUCCUUCAGCAGCACUAAAGCAGCUUUGAAGAAAACCACUACCCAAGAACUCGCUGGGAAAGGCCAAGUCAGGAGAAAAGGAAAGGCUGAUUGCAGGGAAGUGUGAUUGAUAUAUAUAUAUAUAUAUAUAUAUAUAUAUACAGGGAGAAGUAAGUCAGAAAAGGUUCAGCUGCUUGAACGUCCAAUUUAAACAAGGCACAGGUUCAUUUAAGCACCCAAAGUGAAUACAGAAGCUACGGGAUGGAAGCAGAGCAAGCAGUGUCUGCAGGUUUACUGAUGCUCACGAGGGAAGCACGCAACGACUCUGCUCCUUUUGGACCAAUGAGCUGAUCUCCACAGACCGCCCCAAAGGGGCCUGCCAGAUCUAAAGUUUCAGAAAACGCCAUGUGAAAGUUUCUUUCUCCGAUUAUAUUAAAGUUUUCAACUGUAAUUCCAA